RNAcentral lists this long non-coding RNA (199 nucleotides) under Phoenix dactylifera (date palm). RNAcentral describes it as "long non-coding RNA (PDAC_LNC008412)". Lineage: Eukaryota; Viridiplantae; Streptophyta; Magnoliopsida; Arecales; Arecaceae. The record is from RNAcentral.
UGGUGGUGACGAUGGACGAAGAAACUGUGUUAGGUGACGACAUCAUGAUGCUACGCUUGCGUACAUGCAUGCAUGCAUGGCACUUGUAUCUGCAUGUUCUGGAUACAUGACAAGUGUUCUUAUGCAAGGUGACAACAAAUCGCAUGCUUUUUUUUUAUGCAAUGAAAAGAAACAUAUCAUGCAUUUGGUGUGAUGGCCG